Molecule: ribosomal RNA, 400 nt
Filed under: uncultured bacterium
Lineage: Bacteria
Description: bacterial SSU rRNA
Rfam family: Bacterial small subunit ribosomal RNA
Source: RNAcentral
GGGGAAUAUUGGACAAUGGGCGAAAGCCUGAUCCAGCAAUACCGCGUGAAUGAUGAAGGCCCUAGGGUUGUAAAGUUCUUUUAAUAGGGAAGAUAAUGACGGUACCUAUAGAAAAAGCCCCGGCCAACUCCGUGCCAGCAGCCGCGGUAAGACGGAGGGGGCUAGCGUUAUUCGGAAUUACUGGGCGUAAAGGGCGCGUAGGCGGAUUAGUAAGUUGGGAGUGAAAUCCCGGGGCUUAACCUCGGAAUUGCUUUCAAAACUGCUAGUCUUGAGUGAAGUAGGGGGUGAUGGAAUUCCUAGUGUAGAGGUGAAAUUCUUAGAUAUUAGGAGGAACACCGGUGGCGAAGGCGGUCACCUGGACUUCAACUGACGCUGAGGCGCGAAAGCGUGGGGAGCAAAC